GGAGACAGUAUCGGAUACUGGGGCGUAAGCGCAUGCAGGUGGUUUGUUAAGUCAGAUGUGAAAGCCCGGGGCUCAACCUCGGAAUUGCAUUUGAAACUGGCAGACUAGAGUACUGUAGAGGGGGGUAGAAUUUCAGGUGUAGCGGUGAAAUGCGUAGAGAUCUGAAGGAAUACCGGUGGCGAAGGCGGCCCCCUGGACAGAUACUGACACUCAGAUGCGAAAGCGUGGGGAGCAAACAGGAUUAGAUACCCUGGUAGUCCACGCCGUAAACGAUGUCUACUUGGAGGUUGUGGCCUUGAGCCGUGGCUUUCGGAGCUAACGCGUUAAGUAGACCGCCUGGGGAGUACGGUCGCAAGAUUAAAACUCAAAUGAAUUGACGGGGGCCCGCACAAGCGGUGGAGCAUGUGGUUUAAUUCGAUGCAACGCGAAGAACCUUACCUACUCUUGACAUCCAGAGAACUUUCCAGAGAUGGAUUGGUGCCUUCGGGAACUCUGAGACAGGUGCUGCAUGGCUGUCGUCAGCUCGUGUUGUGAAAUGUUGGGUUAAGUCCCGCAACGAGCGCAACCCUUAUCCUUGUUUGCCAGCGAGUAAUGUCGGGAACUCCAGGGAGACUGCCGGUGAUAAACCGGAGGAAGGUGGGGACGACGUCAAGUCAUCAUGGCCCUUACGAGUAGGGCUACACACGUGCUACAAUGGCGCAUACAGAGGGCAGCCAACUUGCGAGAGUGAGCGAAUCCCAAAAAGUGCGUCGUAGUCCGGAUCGGAGUCUGCAACUCGACUCCGUGAAGUCGGAAUCGCUAGUAAUCGUGGAUCAGAAUGCCACGGUGAAUACGUUCCCGGGCCUUGUACACACCGCCCGUCACACCAUGGGAGUGGGCUGCAAAAGAAGUAGGUAGUUUAACCUUCGGGAGGACGCUUACCACUUUGUGGUUCAUGACUGGGGUGAAUCUAAGGGGGGAGCCCCCCAAAAAAAGCCUUCAUAAAAUCCCU
RNAcentral lists this ribosomal RNA (991 nucleotides) under Vibrio harveyi. Its description in RNAcentral is "bacterial SSU rRNA". It matches the Rfam family "Bacterial small subunit ribosomal RNA", at positions 534 to 1533 of the family's 1533-position model. Lineage: Bacteria; Pseudomonadati; Pseudomonadota; Gammaproteobacteria; Vibrionales; Vibrionaceae. The record is from RNAcentral.